GAGAAUGUGAAUCAACCACCUGGCCCUGCUGCUCUGGGUUUUCCUUCCAGAGAUGAGUAGUUGGUUCCUGCAGGUCAGUGACGUAACGGAUAACAUGCAGCUGCAGGCGUGGAGAGAUUUGGACUGCUUGGGUGCACAGAAGAGGGCCUGAGAACCCCUGGAACUGCAGUCGCAGGCGAUUGUAAGCGGUCAUGUGGGUGGGUGCUGGGAACCAAACCCCUGUUCUCUAGAAGGGCAGCAAGUGCUCCUCAUCACCAAUCCAUCGCCAGUGCCAACUCUGUACCCCAACCCUAAUGCCAGCAGGUUGAUAUUUGGAAGUGUCAUGGCAAUUUGUGAUGUCUCCAGCAGUGCCAGCCUGUGAUUUCCUUGCCCACACUGGGCGUUUCUCUCAGCUUCCAGCUCCCUCAGCAGUAAACUGUUCAUUUUUCACUCGCAGGCCUUUGAUUGGCAAGAUGUGUUUUAAUCUACUGUGAUGGUUUGGUUGCCGUCAGUGUUGUUUUCCACCUUUGAGCCAUGUGUUACAUGCGUCAAGUGAGAGGCUUGUGGGUGGCGGAAAGCUCCCCACGUGUACACGGUGGGCUGUAUAGUGUCCUCUGAGUGCCACUGAGUGGGAAUUAGAGCUGCCUCAUUAGUGGGAAUAAAGGCUGGAAGCAAGUGCUGUGGGCUUGUCUGAAGUCUCCAGAGUCCUCUGUGAUUUCUGUGGCAUCAUCCACUUUCAACUGUUUUGUGAAUUCAGUUGAAAUUUGAUCCAUUACAGUAUGACCAAGGGCCUAAUUAGCUGGAAACCUCAGGAAAUUCAUAAAUUAAAGAGCCCAUUAGUCACAGUGCCCUCCCCUUGUGAGUGACUCUCACCCCCUUCAUUUUGCCUGACUCUCCUGCCACACGUUAGUUCCAACAAGACUUGGCUAGACUGGCCGCCUUUCUGAUGUGCUUCCUGCCUUGCUGGGAUGGGGAAGGGUUAAAAAGCCAGGCUUAGUUCCUGUCCAGCUCUUGGGCUCCAUCCCAUCCCUCAGCCUAUACCUCACCAGUCUCCAGGUACUUAGGCUGAAUGCUGGUGGCAGUCCUGGAGAGGGCCCUGUUGGCACGAGUGUGGCAGCCCUCCACAGUGCCUCUCUGUCCCAUGGCCUGGAGGAAGGGUGCCACGUGCCAGUGUACCCACUGCUGAAGUCGUGCUGAGGCUCCGCCUUGGCGGCCUUCCUUCUCCCAGUAGGAUUUCUGUGGUUUUGUCUUGGCUCGUGGAUUCCCCGGAUCUGAGUGGUUGUGGCCACAGAUUCCUCUCUUCCCUUUCCCCAAAUAGACCACGUGCAUCUACCAAGUGGAACAGUCUGAGGGUUCACGUGGCCAGACAGUCCAAAACGAACUCUGCACAAGAGUCUUGUAGGAGGGAGGGGUGGUUCUGCAGCCUGGCCGUGGAGUGGAUUUGUAGAUUAAGAGUACCUGUGGUAAAGAACCUAAGACAAGAGUUUUAAUAACCUCCCUCCCCCUUCCCUCUCUCCCGCCCUUUCUUCCUGGGAUCGAACCCAGGGCCUUGUGCUAGGCAGGUACUCUACCACUGAGCUAUGAGGCCACUGUUGUUGGGAAGAUAUUUCUGCAUGCCAAUCUGUAUGAAACCAGAGAGGUGGUGUUUUAGGUUUGUUUUUGUUUUUAAGUUCCAAGUAGAACAGCUGGCCAUGCCUUGGUUUUACAUCUGGUCUUCUGAGGGUUUUAUUAAUAUCCAGAGAGUUCGUGUUUUGUUUUUAACAUGCAUUUGGGGCUGGAAAGAUGAUUCAGUGGGUAGAGGAGAGGCACUUGCUGAGCAAGCCCUACCACGUAAAGAUCCAUUCCCAGAACCCAUGUAAGGGUCAGGGGAGAGAACGGGUACCGAAGAGUUGCCCUCUGACCUCUGUGUGUACACCCCCACACACAAUAAAUCGAGCAACACUAAUGACAUCACGCAGUGUUAGCUCUUAAGUGCGAAGACCUCUGGAGAUGGCACCAUCAGCCAUCAGGUCUGCUACUGUGUCUAUCCAUUUCCUGCUUUUAGCUGGGGUGAACUAGGUUCCUUUUCCUGAAGAUGAGAACUAUCUAGUGUGAUACCUUGGGUAUUAAAGAAAAUUGUUGGUGAGCUGUCGCUUCUGUCCUUCUGUUUUGGGCAUUGCAAGAGCUCAGGUGUCG
Mesocricetus auratus (golden hamster) is the source of this 2154-nucleotide long non-coding RNA. RefSeq lists it as uncharacterized. The record is from RefSeq and is a predicted model, not a curated record. The transcript is spliced from 2 exons. Lineage: Eukaryota; Metazoa; Chordata; Mammalia; Rodentia; Cricetidae.